GUGUCAGCCGCCGCGGUAAUACGGAGGGUGCAAGCGUUAAUCGGAUUUAUUGGGCGUAAAGGGCAUGUAGGCGGGGUGGAAAGUUAGAUGUGAAAGCCCGGGGCUCAACUCCGGAUCCGCAUCUAAAACUUCCGCUCUAGAGGAUGGAAGGAGAAAAGGGAAUUCCACGUGUAGCGGUGAAAUGCGUAGAUAUGUGGAAGAACACCAGUGGCGAAGGCGCUUUUCUAUUUUAUUCCUGACGCUGAGAUGCGAAAGCAAGGGGAGCAAACAGGAUUAGAUACCCUGGUAGUCCUUGCUGUAAACGAUGUACACUUGAUGUAACUGGUCUCAACCCCAGUUGUGUCGAAGCUAACGCGUUAAGUGUACCGCCUGAGGAGUACGCUCGCAAGGGUGAA
RNAcentral lists this ribosomal RNA (395 nucleotides) under uncultured bacterium. RNAcentral's name for it is "bacterial SSU rRNA". It matches the Rfam family "Bacterial small subunit ribosomal RNA", at positions 505 to 898 of the family's 1533-position model. The record is from RNAcentral.